UCAAUGCCUUUGUAACUUUAACUAGAAUAAUUCUAUUAUUAAAACAGUGAAUAUUCACUAUUAUUGCCAUCUGAUAGAUAUCAGGUAGAAUUUUAUUAAGAUCAUUAUAGAGUUUUAUUACUCAAAGCUUAUUAGAAAAUUAGAUUAUGCCAUCUACUUAUGAGAAAAUUUUACUUCAGAGAAAUUCUAUUUCUCACAAACCCUAAUACCUCUGGCUGUAUAUAAACCAUCCCAUCUCCUUCUUUUCUGAAUGAUAAAGCAGCUUGUUUUUCUUUUACAAACACAUUAUUAUCUUGAGGAACAGAGGGACAUUGAGAAACUCCCUCCCAAGAGUAGUAACCAGUUGAUGCUUUCUUCCAGUGCAAUUUCACACAGUCCAUCAAGACCUGCAGGAUCUGAUGCAGCCUUUGUCUCCAGGCUUGUCUGUCGUUUCUUCUACCCCAGAGUCAGCAAAGAACAUGGUGUAUAACUACCUGCACUCAUAUCCAGGUGUCUCCAACUCUCCAACUGCUGUUAGCCUUUUCACAACUUUGAUUUUUUUUUUUUUUUUUUUUUUUGGUCUGUAAGUAGAAACAAUAAUAGACCCUGCCUGAUGGGGCUCUUGUGAAGUUUAGAUGAAAUAAUGCACAUAACAUGAUGACAUAUGAUAUAUACUCAGUAAUGUUAGCUGUUAGUAUUAAUCUGGAUAGUUACUCCUGGCAAAAAAACUUUUCUUACCCACUCAAACCAGGAUGGGUGCCCCCAUUUUACAUUUCUGUAGAAUCUUGUCCUUCCUUGUAAUACUCAUCAUACUUUUAAAUACUUAUUUAAGGUCUGUGUUCUCAGCUAGAUUAUAUACACUUCAAGAACAAAUCUGGUUUUAUGAUUAUUAUUAAUAUCCAUUAUGUCUAGCACACAGCCUACAAAGGAAUAUCUGUUAAAUGAAUUAAAGUUAAUGCUAAAGCUAUAAGACUGAUGAGUUCUUUGGGAAGACAUUCAAGUAUCUCAAUUAUAAUUUUUAAAAAUUGGUCAAUUUGAAAGAAUUAUUGAGAGAAAUAGGCAUUGUGCUACAUCUUAGUUUGUGAUAUGAUUCAGAGGAAAACAUAAUAACAGUAGUGACACUUACUUUAUAGUGCUUUAUAGUAUAUUCAUACCUAUAAUUCCAUUCCAGAAGCUCACAGAAUAUUAGAGAUGGAAGACACUCCAGAGUCAUCGCACCCAAAUCUUCAUUUGAGAGAUAAGGAAACCAAAAGCCACCAUUGCACCAAGAGUCACUGAAUUCUCCAAAACACGUCCCACAGAAAGGGUGUCAGAAAAGCCCUUGGACUCUAACCAUGCAUUCGAUGAGCUCACAAGUCUGAACCAUAAGUUUCCUGAGCAUCACUUAAAUAGCUUGUGAAAGGACAGGAAGUCCCACAAAAAUGGGCAGACAGAAAUAGAAGAUGGAAUUACAAUUCAGUGGUCCACACAGAGUCUUUCCUAGUGUGUCUUGAGCCAGCAGCAAAGGGUGGCACUCAAGGCUCAGGGUGAAGUGAAGCACAGUAAGCUAGGUGAAGCAGAUGGGAGCUGCUCUGGAGAGACCCACAGCAGCCGUCCAUGUAGGACUCAUUUCCUGCUUUGAGCCAAAUGGGUUUAUCAAACGCAGCCCUCUGUACUGUUUUCUGGCCAACAUGGAGAAAUGCACCUGGCAUCUGCCUAUGCAUUCUGUCUUUUUUGCCAAAUGCAGGGAUCUCCCCUUGGCUUUCAACAUGGAACACCCGGAAUCAGAUGGAAAAUCCCUCCGUUAGUCAAGUACAUGGGAAAUGCUCUCUGAUAAUGCUGUGGAAGAGAAUGAUCGUCCACAUACACAAAAGUUCAAUUAAGUUCAUUUGUUCAUGGCUCAAGCCUAUGUGCUAGGAAUCAGGACUGACUGCCCAGUACCCUGACUUUGGCUCCUCUGCAGCCUGCAUACAGAGCUGUAGGGGCCAAGGGCAGGCUGCCCAAAAUGUACCACUUUGGCAUAUUGAUUAUUUUGAAUAAAAGUUACUUAAGAGAUAGCCUGUGCAAGAAGGACACUCAGACAGUUCCCCGUCCCCCUGAAAGCAGGAAACAAAUCUCCCCUGUGAAAGCUACCCUCCCUGCACAAGAAGUAAAGAGACAUCCUAAUUGCCAGAGAUAGGAAAUUUAGAGCCAAGAAGGCUGUGUGAACAACCCUUGUUACUUUUUACUAAUUUACUACCACAGCCCAAAUUCUGUUUAGAAUUCCUUACUAAUUGAAGUUCCUAAAGCUAAGUUUUCUUUGUCCUGUCAAUGCCUCACAGAUUUAUUGUUUCUUUGGGUAAAAAGUAUAAAAACUGCUUGCUCUGGUCAUUUCUUUGGGUCUCAAUUUCAUUAUUGGGUCUCUGUGUGUACCUAAUGCAACUGGGUUUUUUUUCAUGUUAAUCUGUCUUAUGUAAAUUUAAUUCUUAUUUUUUCAUUUUAGAGAGAGGGAGAGUACACAAGUGGGGGAGAGGGGCAGAGGGAGAGAGAAAGAGAGAGAGAGAGAGAGAGAGAGAGAGAAUCUCAAGCAGGCUCCACAUUCAGUGCACAGCCUGACACAGGGCUCAAUUCCACGACCCAGGGAUUGUGACCUGAGCCGAAAUCAAGAGUUGGACUCUCAACUGACUCGGCUACCCAGGCAACCCUGUAAAUUUCAUUCUUGGUCCAGCUAGAAAGAUCUUAGACCCAGGAAAAUUUUUUUCUCCCCUUCAGGGGAUACCUGACAGAGGUCCCAGAACACCUGAGGAGAAUGGGUGACCCAGUGGGAUACUUAGUAAUAGCAGGGUUGAAAUGGGGGAAGUUGAAAGGUCAAGGACCUUUUUAAAAAAAAAACACACAAAUUCACACUCAGUCUUUAUUUUUCACUUUUCUUUUCCUUCUUGAUAGCAAGUGGGGGCAGGACAAAGAUCUGGCUUGGAAGACGAGUGACGUGCCUUGGUGCAGUGACACACAAACCAUCCAGAGUUGGGCUUGCUGUGACUGUUGGUGGUGCUUUCUCCUGGGCACCUCUCCCUCUCAUAGGGUGAUCUGGACAGGUCCCAUCAUUUGUGGCCUGCAGUAGAUGAUGACUUAAUAGAGAACUCAGAUAUUAGAAGCACAGAGGGAGUCCAGACCCCAGGCCCAAGUUUACAGAAACAAUGGAGCUGCCAGACCUGAAAGCACACAGCCUAUAAUGAGAGGCAGUUUGGCAAAGGUUAGGAUGGAUGGAGAACUGGUGAUUGAAGUUGGAGGUCCCCAGCAUCUAUGUACUCUGUGCCAGAUGAGGAAAUUGAGGUACAGAGAGAUUUGUAACUCACCCAAGGCUACCCAGCUAGGAAGGUGCAGGCAGAGCUGAGACUCACACUUGGAGUCUGGCUCCAGGUUCUGUGCUCUUCAACACAGUGCUAAGCUGACCAUGCACUGAAGGAACAGGGAUUACAGUCUGCCCUCUCUCAACCUGGAUACCAGCUUUGGUUUGUUGUCUGAAUGACAGAAUCCUUCAUGUACCACAGGCAAGACUGUGGUCCUUCCAAAAGGUGCUGCAUUCAAAGAAGCAUCCCAAGCCCAGCCUCCCCUCUCCAUGUCCCUGCACACUCUGACCAGGAAAUUGCUUCAGAUUCCCUGACUUUGAUUAAGCUUAUAGGACCCAUUCCUGUGUUUCUGCAGUCUCCUAUCAACAACACUUGCAAAGUGGCCUUAAUCAGUUGUCAUCACUGCUUGCCCCUCCCCCCACCCCGCAAAAGGAAAUCUUCCAAGGUGAGGAGAAAUCUUCUUGGUCUGGUGGGAGCCUACCUUUCUCUAACACACAAACAUGGUAGUCUGUGUCCAGAUUUUCUGGUCCUGACUUCAAAUUUUCCAAUGUUGCAUUAAAUUAUGCAUAUUUUUAUGCUAAAAUAUGUGUUUCUUUUCAUGGUAUUUUAUUCAGUAAA
This is a long non-coding RNA of Acinonyx jubatus (cheetah), 3905 nucleotides long. RefSeq lists it as uncharacterized. The record is from RefSeq and is a predicted model, not a curated record. Lineage: Eukaryota; Metazoa; Chordata; Mammalia; Carnivora; Felidae. The transcript has 5 exons.